Molecule: non-coding RNA, 342 nt
Organism: Pelobates cultripes (western spadefoot toad)
Lineage: Eukaryota; Metazoa; Chordata; Amphibia; Anura; Pelobatidae
Source: the annotation of a GenBank genome assembly
CUCCUAAGAAGUUUGGGAACAGCCGUUGAUAUAAGAGAAAGCAAUAUAGGUUGAGAGAGAAUCCAUAACCCAAUAAAAAUAUAUGGCUGAUGUGAUUUCAAAGAGUCAUGGAAAUAUGUGAGAUGAUUGGUCUAUCAUCCACAGGCUGAGGAUUAUAUAAGAGGACAUCCUUUUAACAAGACAGGUCAGUUUAUUUUCUUCUUUAAAUGUAAUGCGUUGUUUUAUCCAUACAUGUGGGUUAUUGCAUUGUUCUUGUUGGAGGGAUGUUUCUGUUGUUGUUGUGCUUUAUCAAUAGUUUCAAAGGAGAGAGAAAAUCAUCCACCUUCACAGACAGAAUGAUUG